This 628-nucleotide long non-coding RNA is filed under the name Equus asinus (donkey). RNAcentral describes it as "lncRNA (ENSEASG00005027160.1)". The record is from RNAcentral. Lineage: Eukaryota; Metazoa; Chordata; Mammalia; Perissodactyla; Equidae.
GAAUUCACAUUACUCUAGAAACCCUUUCUGAGGCUCCGAUCUCUAAGCCGAGUUAACCUCCGGUCCAGGAACUAGAGGAAUUUAACAAGGAAAUUACUGACCAUAAUUGAUGACCCUGUCAAUCUCAUAGUCACUCUUUGACAAUGUAAACCCUGAAGACAAUAAUGAUAAUAAUAUCCUGACUUUUAGAGCUAAAGGAAUUGGAAGUAUUGAAUUGGAACUCUUCCAGGAAGAUUAGCCCUGAGCUAAUAUCCACUGCCAAUCCUCUUUUUGCUGAGGAAGACGCCCUGAGCUAACAUCCAUGCCCAUAUUCCUCUACUUUAUAUGUGGGAUGCCUACCACAGCAUGGCUUGACAAGUGGUGCCAUGUCCGCACCCGGGAUCCAAAUCAGCAAACCCUGGGGCGCCAAAUCGGAACGUGUGAACUUAACCGCUGCACCACCGGGCCGGCCCCCCGAAUGGUUUUUUAAGUAUGUUUCAUGCGAUAGUUUUACCCAGCCAUUCCGAGUCGCUCAAGUGCAUCAGUUCCCUCAGCAAAUCCUGCAUCAAGAGUUCUUCAACAUGGAUCUUUUCUUGGACCUCUUCCCACAAAAAUGCAUAAUUAUCCAUCCAAAUAUUUCAUGGGAAAU